ACCAGACUCCUACGGGAGGCAGCAGUGGGGAAUAUUGCACAAUGGGGGAAACCCUGAUGCAGCGACGCCGCGUGAGUGAAGAAGUAUUUCGGUAUGUAAAGCUCUAUCAGCAGGGAAGAAAAUGACGGUACCUGAUUAAGAAGCCCCGGCUAACUACGUGCCAGCAGCCGCGGUAAUACGUAGGGGGCAAGCGUUAUCCGGAUUUACUGGGUGUAAAGGGAGCGUAGACGGUGAUGCAAGUCAGAAGUGAAAGCCCGGGGCUCAACUCCGGGACUGCUUUUGAAACUGUGUGACUGGAGUGCAGGAGAGGUAAGCGGAAUUCCUGGUGUAGCGGUGAAAUGCGUAGAUAUCAGGAGGAACACCAGUGGCGAAGGCGGCUUACUGGACUGUAACUGACGUUGAGGCUCGAAAGCGUGGGGAGCAAACAGGAUUAGAUACCCCAGUAAC
This 447-nucleotide ribosomal RNA is filed under the name uncultured bacterium. Its description in RNAcentral is "bacterial SSU rRNA". It matches the Rfam family "Bacterial small subunit ribosomal RNA", at positions 330 to 794 of the family's 1533-position model. The record is from RNAcentral.